RNAcentral lists this ribosomal RNA (365 nucleotides) under uncultured bacterium. Its description in RNAcentral is "bacterial SSU rRNA". It matches the Rfam family "Bacterial small subunit ribosomal RNA", at positions 29 to 420 of the family's 1533-position model. The record is from RNAcentral.
AGCGAACGCUGGCGGCAGGCUUAACACAUGCAAGUCGAACGGGCACCUUCGGGUGUCAGUGGCAGACGGGUGAGUAACACGUGGGAACGUGCCCUUUGGUUCGGAACAACUCCGGGAAACUGGAGCUAAUACCGGAUAAGCCCUUCGGGGAAGGAUUAUCGCCAAAGGAUCGGCCCGCGUCUGAUUAGCUAGUUGGUGAGGUAAUGGCUCACCAAGGCGACGAUCAGUAGCUGGUCNGAGAGGAUGAUCAGCCACACUGGGACUGAGACACGGCCCACGACUCCUACGGGAGGCAGCAGUGGGGAAUAUUGGACAAUGGGCGCAAGCCUGAUCCAGCCAUGCCGCGUGAGUGAUGAAGGGCCCUA